GAUGAACGCUGGCGGCGUGCCUAACACAUGCAAGUCGAACGGACUUAAUAUGAAACCUAGUGAAUGUUAAGUUAGUGGCGGACGGGUGAGUAACGCGUGGAUAACCUGCCGUAUGCAGGGGGAUACCAACUGGAAACAGUUGCUAAUACCGCAUAAGCGCACAGUGCUGCAUGGCACAGUGUGAAAAGAAAUUCGGCAUACGAUGGAUCCGCGUCCGAUUAGCCAGUUGGCGGGGUAACGGCCCACCAAAGCGACGAUCGGUAGCCGGCCUGAGAGGGCGGACGGCCACAUUGGGACUGAGACACGGCCCAA
This 312-nucleotide ribosomal RNA is filed under the name uncultured bacterium. RNAcentral's name for it is "bacterial SSU rRNA". It matches the Rfam family "Bacterial small subunit ribosomal RNA", at positions 28 to 334 of the family's 1533-position model. The record is from RNAcentral.